This 714-nucleotide ribosomal RNA is filed under the name uncultured Nitrosopumilales archaeon. Its description in RNAcentral is "bacterial SSU rRNA". It matches the Rfam family "Archaeal small subunit ribosomal RNA", at positions 151 to 866 of the family's 1478-position model. Lineage: Archaea; Thermoproteati; Nitrososphaerota; Nitrososphaeria; Nitrosopumilales. The record is from RNAcentral.
ACCCGAUAGGUCAUGAUGCCUGGAAUGGUUUAUGACUCAAAUAAUUAAUUGCCGUAGGAUGGGACUGCGGCCUAUCAGUUUGUUGGUGAGGUAAUGGCCCACCAAGGCUAUUACAGGUACGGGCUCUGAGAGGAGUAGCCCGGAGAUGGGUACUGAGACACGGACCCAGGCCCUAUGGGGCGCAGCAGGCGAGAAAACUUUGCAAUGUGCGAAAGCACGACAAGGUUAAUCCGAGUGGUUUCUGCUAAAGGAACCUUUUGUUAGUCCUAGAAACACUAACGAAUAAGGGGUGGGCAAGUUCUGGUGUCAGCCGCCGCGGUAAAACCAGCACCUCAAGUGGUCAGGAUGAUUAUUGGGCCUAAAGCAUCCGUAGCCGGCUCUGUAAGUUUUCGGUUAAAUCUGUACGCUCAACGUACAGGCUGCCGGGAAUACUGCAGAGCUAGGGAGUGGGAGAGGUAGACGGUACUCGGGAGGAAGUGGUAAAAUGCUUUGAUCUCUCGAUGACCACCUGUGGCGAAGGCGGUCUACCAGAACACGUCCGACGGUGAGGGAUGAAAGCUGGGGGAGCAAACCGGAUUAGAUACCCGGGUAGUCCCAGCUGUAAACUAUGCAAACUCAGUGAUGCAUUGGCUUGUGGCCAAUGCAGUAUUGCAGGGAAGCCGUUAAGUUUGUCGCCUGGGAAGUACGUACGCAAGUAUGAUACUUAAGGAAUUU